RNAcentral lists this long non-coding RNA (1778 nucleotides) under Homo sapiens (human). RNAcentral's name for it is "HSALNT0127450". Lineage: Eukaryota; Metazoa; Chordata; Mammalia; Primates; Hominidae. The record is from RNAcentral.
UUGUGAUGCGUCACAUAGUUCCUGGCAUGCCAUUGUCCUGAAUUCACCUACUAAUUUUACCCUCAGAGAAAGAGAGAGUCUUUGGAGAGUUGUGAGGAGAUAAGUGACAUAAACUGGCAUGUUCUGAAAGAAUCACUCUGGAUGCUGUGUGGAGAAAACACUGAAAAGAAUUCUAGAGUGAAAGUUUCAUGAAUAUAAGAAGCAAGACAAGGAAGUGGCUUAUGCUUAAGGCCUUAAAGGCAACCACUGUGACAAUCCAGCCAUUCUCUGGAGAAUUCAGCAGAAAGCCAGUUGGAAGGGGAGAAUAAUUGACUCCAUUCAAGUGUUCGCUCCUGUUUCAAUCAACUAUGGCUGAAGAGUGAGGAGACAUUUGGAAUAAAUAUGGCUUCUGGGGGCCCAUUCCUAUGGAUCAGCAGCUGGCUUCUGGAGGCCCAUUCCUGUGAAUCGUCGAUCUCAUAGAAGAUAAUAUUGUUAGAAGGCUUACCUCAUUGAUGCUGAACAUCCUAAAAAGCUUCUGCUGCUUUGAGUCACUGAAAAAGACCAAGAAACAUGAAUUUAAAAAAAAAUUUCAAAUGUUAUAAAAUAAAUAAUAUGAACUCAUUAUACCUACAAUGAAUAAUUUAAAUUCUUCUUUGGUAGUCCAGCAUAGGUUUAGAAACUAUGAAAACCCUAGAAGAAAACCUAGGCAAUGCCAUUCAGGACAUAGGCACGGACAAAGAUUUCAUGACGAAGACGCCAAAAACAACUGCAACAAAAGCAAAAAUUGACAGAUGGGAUCUCAUUAAACUAAAGAGCUUCCAUACAGCAAAAGAAGCUACCAUGAGAGUGAACAGACAACCUAUAGAAAGGGAGAAAAAUUUUGCAAUCUGUUCAUCUGACAAAGGUCUAAUAUCCAGCAUCUACAAGGAACUUAAAUAAAUUUACAAGAAAAAAACAAACCCAUUAGAAAAUGGGCAAAGGACAUGAAAAGAUACUUCUCAAAAGACAUACAUGUGGCCAACAAUCAUACAAAAAAAACCUCAACAUCACUGAUGAUUAGAAAAAUGCUAAUCAAAACCACAACGAGAUACCAUCUCAUACCUGUCAGAAUGGCUAUUAAUAAAAAGUUAAAAAACAACAGAUGCUGGUGAGGUUGUUGAGAAAAAGGAAUACUGUUAUACUGUUGGUGGGAAUGUAAAUUAGUUCAACCAUUGUGGGAGACAGUGUGGCAUUUCCUCAAAGACCUAGAGGCAGAAAUACCAUUUGACUCAGCAAUCACGUUACUGGAUAUAUACCCAAAGGAAUAUAAAUCAUUCUAUUAUAAAGAUACAUGCAUGCGCAUGUUCACUGCAGCAUUAUUCACAAUAGCAAAGACAUGGAAUCAACCCAAAUGCCCAUCAAUAACACACUAGAUAAAGAAAAUGUGGUAUAUAUACACCAUGGAAUACUAUUCAGCCAUAAAAAGGAAUGAAAUCAAGUCCUUUGCAGGAACAUGAAUGAAGCUGAAGGCCAUCAUCUUCAGCAAACUAACACAGGAACAGAAAAUAAAAUACCACAUAUUCUCACUUACAACUGGGAGCUGAAUGAUGAGAACAUAUGGACACAUAUAGGGGCACAACACACACUGGGGCCUGUUGGAGGGUGCUGGGGGGAGGAGGCAGAGCAUCAGGAAGAAUAGCUAAUGGAUUCUGGGCUUAAUACCUAAGUGAUGAGAUGAUCUGUGCAGCAAACUACCAUAGUACAUGUUUACCUAUGUAACAAACCUGUACGUCCUGCACAUGUACCCCUGAACAUUAAAA